This is a long non-coding RNA of Mustela lutreola (European mink), 1595 nucleotides long. RefSeq lists it as uncharacterized. The record is from RefSeq and is a predicted model, not a curated record. The transcript is spliced from 3 exons. NCBI's taxonomy places the organism in Eukaryota, Metazoa, Chordata, Mammalia, Carnivora, Mustelidae.
CUGGGUUUUUAGACAAGGUCCCCAGUUGCUGUAGAGCAUGUGGUCUGGAAGCAAUGAGCCUGCAGCAGGGAAACCGCGGACCACAGGGGGUGGCCUGACGUGACCCAGGACACCCAGCUCCGUCUGCACUGUGCGGAUAAACAGCAAAUGCUCUGUUGGUCCCAGAAACCAACCGCACCCAGCUCAGGCAGCCUGGUUCUCCCUCCCUCCCUCCGUGGAAUGCUGGGCAGGGUGCACCAGCCGACCAGAAGUCCCAUCCCGAAGCCUCCUCCUCUGUCUCCCCUGCUGCCUUAUCUUGCCUGUCAUCCUCCUGCACUUCUGGGCAGAAGUGCCCACCCCAGGAAGAAGCCUCAGAGAAUUCUUUCCUAACAAACGCUGUUCUGCAUUUACCUUCAUCGCUCUGGUCACUUCCUAGCAAUCGGGGACAGGACCCUUCCCAGACAUCCACCACCAUGGGCAUAAAGUGUAUAAGCCCAGGGCUCUGAAGCAUCUUAGCACCUCUCCUUGUCAAAACAGCAGGAGCUAUCAUCCAUCCGAUCCAGUCCUUCGGCAGGAUUAACGGAGACUCAGGGAAAGAAGGCACCAGGCCUGGAAGGGAGGCAGAGGCCAGCAGCAACACCUGCCCAAGACGGUCAAAGAGCGCCAAUGUUUAAGGCUGUGAUUAAUCGAGGAACUAGGGCAUGCCAGCAGAGCCAGGAAAGGAGCGUGGUUUACAGGAAGUCUGCACGGAGCUCCCCUUUAACCCCUUCCUUUGGACUCUGGAAACCAGCCCUUCAGAGAUGGGGACCCUCCAAACCAGUUGCCAACUGCACCCCGGACUUCACAAACCCCUUACCCCGGAUGCACAGGCUUGCUGGGAAUCCAACAGAUGCACAUCAAAAUGACGCCCAGGCAAAAAAUGCAAAGCUUUGCCAACAGGUCGUCAUGGCGAGGCAGUGGGGAAAUCAGCAAUUUCCUGCAGAGUCAGCAAGAAUGUAAAUCAAUACAGUCAUGGAGGGAAAUACAGAAAUAUCUGGCGAGAUUAUUCGCGUACAUGAGUCCCCUUUGAUCCAGGGUUACGUGCUUUCAUGGCAAGAGCGACCCCGCGUAGUGAGCGCCAUCGAUAACCUCACUUUACCUGGGGAAACUGAGGCUCGGGGUGGCUAUUCGUCAGGUGGCCAAAGUUGACCACUACUAGAAAGGGUGGCAGGCUCAACAUGACUCACUGGAGAAAACUCGGCUCGGCUCGUAACCAUGCAACUCGGUCCGCGGGAAAGGCGGGUUCCUUUCGCACACGUGCGGCGAUUGCCUCAAAGAACAGGAGGCUCUCUUGGCACUGAUAUUAAACAAUCUCUAAGGGACAUUGUUUGUGAAAAAGCAAGGUGUGACCCAGGCAGGGAGACCCGGAAGUACAGGACGCAGAGAACACUGAUCACUUGUUUUCAAAACUCCCCAACGCUUACCAAUGCGUAAGGUGCCUCUGGAAGGAACCAGAAGUUCAACCGUACUGUGAUAUUUGAGACCUGGAAGUUGGCCAACAGGAAAAGGAGGAAAGUGACCUUUGCCCUGUACACCUCCUUGCAUCUCUUAGCCGUUGAACCAUUUGAGGAUAUCAG